This 77-nucleotide transfer RNA is filed under the name Helicobacteraceae bacterium 4484_230. RNAcentral describes it as "tRNA-Arg". It matches the Rfam family "tRNA". From Rfam's summary of the family: Transfer RNA (tRNA) molecules are approximately 80 nucleotides in length. RNAcentral also lists the same sequence under 1 other name. The record is from RNAcentral. Lineage: Bacteria; Pseudomonadati; Campylobacterota; Epsilonproteobacteria; Campylobacterales; Helicobacteraceae.
GCGCCCGUGGCUCAACUGGAUAGAGUAUCGGACUUCGGAUCCGACGGUUAUAGGUUCGAAUCCUAUCGGGCGUGCCA